GGAGUACUUCUUUCGUCUGAAAAUACUUGUUAUCAAAAUGGAUAAAAAAAGAUGUAUCUAGAACUAAAAUACGUCUAGAUACAUCUUCUUUUAUUCCUAAAUACAUCCCUUAGUUCUAGAUACAUCCUUUUUUAUUCAUUUUGAUAACAAGUAUUUUUGGACGAAGGGAGUAUCUC
This is a non-coding RNA of Triticum urartu, 176 nucleotides long. NCBI's taxonomy places the organism in Eukaryota, Viridiplantae, Streptophyta, Magnoliopsida, Poales, Poaceae. The record is from Rfam.